ACUCCUACGGGAGGCAGCAGUGGGAAGUAUUGGACAAUGGGCGAAAGCCUGAUCCAGCAAUGCCGCGUGAGUGAUGAAGGCCCUAGGGUUGUAAAGCUCUUUUACCCGGGAAGAUAAUGACUGUACCGGGAGAAUAAGCCCGGCUAACUCCGUGCCAGCAGCCGCGGUAAUACGGAGGGGCGUAGCGUUGUUCGGAAUUACUGGGCGUAAAGCGCACGUAGGCGGCUUUGUAAGUCAGAGGUGAAAGCCUGGAGCUCAACUCCAGAACUGCCUUUGAGACUGCAUCGCUUGAAUCCAGGAGAGGUCAGUGGAAUUCCGAGUGUAGAGGUGAAAUUCGUAGAUAUAUGGAAGAACACCAGUGGCGAAGGCGGCUACCUGGUCUGCAGCUGACGCUGAGACUCGAAAGCAUGGGUAGCG
RNAcentral lists this ribosomal RNA (417 nucleotides) under uncultured bacterium. RNAcentral describes it as "bacterial SSU rRNA". It matches the Rfam family "Bacterial small subunit ribosomal RNA", at positions 335 to 770 of the family's 1533-position model. The record is from RNAcentral.